Molecule: microRNA, 21 nt
Filed under: Glycine max (soybean)
Lineage: Eukaryota; Viridiplantae; Streptophyta; Magnoliopsida; Fabales; Fabaceae
Description: gma-miR5030b
Source: miRBase by way of RNAcentral
UUCCGGAAGAACAAAGCUACC